This is a long non-coding RNA of Patella vulgata (common limpet), 273 nucleotides long. RefSeq lists it as uncharacterized. The transcript is spliced from 3 exons. NCBI's taxonomy places the organism in Eukaryota, Metazoa, Mollusca, Gastropoda, Patellidae. The record is from RefSeq and is a predicted model, not a curated record.
AGACAACCUUGACCUUUCUAUUGUAAACAGGAAACCAACCCAACUGCGUUAUAAUGUCUCAUAUCAGUCUAAAUUUAAGCAGACACCACUUCCUAAAAGUAGCAAAGUUCAAUAGUCAAUGUUAUUAUCCCUGAUGUAAAUGUAAAUUCAAAUUGAAAAUAAUUAUUUUCUCAACACUCGAUUAUUCACCAACGAAUGAAAGACUCUAACCACAAAGUCUAAAGGCUAUUAUAUAGAGUGCUGCAAAUGAAGAACUAUUGUUAACUUCAGAAC